RNAcentral lists this ribosomal RNA (351 nucleotides) under Clostridium butyricum. RNAcentral's name for it is "bacterial SSU rRNA". It matches the Rfam family "Bacterial small subunit ribosomal RNA", at positions 1000 to 1354 of the family's 1533-position model. The record is from RNAcentral. Lineage: Bacteria; Bacillati; Bacillota; Clostridia; Eubacteriales; Clostridiaceae.
UCUGUAUGGAGGAGCCACUUCGGUGGCAGGAAGACAGGUGGUGCAUGGUUGUCGUCAGCUCGUGUCGUGAGAUGUUGGGUUAAGUCCCGCAACGAGCGCAACCCUUAUUGUUAGUUGCUACCAUUUAGUUGAGCACUCUAGCGAGACUGCCCGGGUUAACCGGGAGGAAGGUGGGGAUGACGUCAAAUCAUCAUGCCCCUUAUGUCUAGGGCUACACACGUGCUACAAUGGUCGGUACAAUGAGAUGCAACCUCGCGAGAGUGAGCAAAACUAUAAAACCGAUCUCAGUUCGGAUUGUAGGCUGAAACUCGCCUACAUGAAGCUGGAGUUGCUAGUAAUCGCGAAUCAGAA